This 1195-nucleotide long non-coding RNA is filed under the name Citrus maxima (pomelo). RNAcentral's name for it is "long non-coding RNA (CMAX_LNC002736)". Lineage: Eukaryota; Viridiplantae; Streptophyta; Magnoliopsida; Sapindales; Rutaceae. The record is from RNAcentral.
GUUUAUAAUUUCUGCCCUCUCUUGACUUCUGCUGCUUUUUGCUUCUAUUAACAGUGUGAGACACUAUUGUUGGAGGCGGAUCAUACACGUCAGGGGCCCACUUCACAGACAGCUUCCUUGGUGAUGCACCUUGUCUCUCGCGGCUACCUUUCAUAGCAGACACAAGCUUCAAAGGAGUCUGAGAGAGAAAAGCAUGGACGGAGGUGAAAUUAGAGAAGCCAAACUAACAAACGAAGUAAACAAAUAUAACAAAUAAGCCUGAAAUCAUUUCUUUAGUAGUAUUAAACGGCUAAACAAGUCCCAAACCACUAUAGGCUCCAGCAGUGCACAUAAAAGAUGGUUUCAUCACCUGUGUUGAAUAACAACAGUCAAAAGCUAGUUCAAACUAAUUUCAAUGCUGAAAGCCAAAAAUGUAAGUAAUUGCAUGCUGAAUUACUUGCACUAAGGUGCAUGAACCAACAGAGGCAGACGCGUUAUCUGUCCUGAAAUGAGGAGGUAAUUUCAUGCUUCCACAUAGUAGCUCCAAAACACACUCUACCAAAUGAAUAUGACAACCAUUAAAGACACAUUUAAGAUAUCACCAUGAAUGAGGAAACAGGAUUAGCUCAUGGUAAUCACAAGCAAUCCAAUAAUCAUAAGGAGGCACACCAUAAAAGGUCACAACUAUGAUCCAUUUCAAAAAGCAGGGUCAAAGUAAACCACAAGACCGCAAGUAAGUAAACCACAAGACCGCAAGUAAGCAAACCACAAGCAGACCAAUGAGACACAGCUCAAGAGAAACUGAAAGACAUGUCAAACCUCUUUAAUCACCAACAGACAUAGGAGAAAUAAUCUUGACAGUCUAGUCUCUUAAUCCAGACCAGACACUUUUGGACAGAAGUAAUCUGAAUACCCCAUACAUUAAAAGAUGAAACUAAAACAGCAGCUCAACAAAAUAAACACCCACAAACCAUCAUAUAUCACAAGAUGACUCACAGGCAAAGAUAAUGAGCGAGAGCAGCGCGAGGGCACAGGGUCAUCAGAAAACAUUUGCUCUAAGGCUGUCUUAAGUUCAUCAUCUUCAUCUUGCUCAUUCACAUUAGCAGAAGGUGAUAUCUUAGCAGUGGGCGGGAAUGUAGCAUACUUGCACAAGCUCUUCUGACCAGGUCCAUCGUCCUCUAAUUUAAGGUCUUCAAAUCCUUCCUCCACAUGACUC